Molecule: ribosomal RNA, 152 nt
Filed under: uncultured bacterium
Lineage: Bacteria
Description: partial 16S ribosomal RNA
Rfam family: Bacterial small subunit ribosomal RNA
Source: RNAcentral
UGGGGAAUCUUGGACAAUGGGCGAAAGCCUGAUCCAGCCAUGCCGCGUGGAUGAUGAAGGCCCUAGGGUUGUAAAAUCCUUUCGUUGGGGACGAUAAUGACGGUACCCAAAGAAUAAGCUCCGGCUAACUUCGUGCCAGCAGCCGCGGUAAU